This 494-nucleotide ribosomal RNA is filed under the name uncultured bacterium. RNAcentral describes it as "partial 16S ribosomal RNA". It matches the Rfam family "Bacterial small subunit ribosomal RNA", at positions 28 to 507 of the family's 1533-position model. The record is from RNAcentral.
GACGAACGCUGGCGGCGUGCUUAACACAUGCAAGUCGAACGGAAAGGCCUGCUUUCCCUUGUGGAUUGCGGGUACUCGAGUGGCGAACGGGUGAGUAACACGUGAGUGAUCUGCCCCCAACUUGGGUAUAAGCCUGGGAAACUGGGUCUAAUUCCCGAUAGGACUGCAGGGUGGUGCCUGUGGUGGAAAACGAUUUUCUAGUGGUUGGGGAUGAGCUCGCGGCCUAUCAGCUUGUUGGUGGGGUAAUGGCCUACCAAGGCGGCGACGGGUAGCCGGCCUGAGAGGGUGGACGGCCCCAUUGGGACUGGGAUACGGCCCAGACGCCUACGGGAGGCAGCAGUGGGGAAUAUUGCACCAUGGGCGGAAGCCUGAUGCAGCGACGCCGCGUGGGGGAUGACGGCCUUCGGGUUGUAAACUCCUUUCGACCGCGAGGAAGCCACCUGGUUGGAAGGGUGGUGACGGUAGUGGUAGAAGAAGCACCGGCUAACUACGUG